Molecule: ribosomal RNA, 492 nt
Filed under: uncultured bacterium
Lineage: Bacteria
Description: partial 16S ribosomal RNA
Rfam family: Bacterial small subunit ribosomal RNA
Source: RNAcentral
AGUGAACGCUGGCGGUAGGCCUAACACAUGCAAGUCGAACGGCAGCACAGUAAGAGCUUGCUCUUACGGGUGGCGAGUGGCGGACGGGUGAGGAAUACAUCGGAAUCUACUUUUUCGUGGGGGAUAACGUAGGGAAACUUACGCUAAUACCGCAUACGACCUACGGGUGAAAGCAGGGGAUCUUCGGACCUUGCGCGAUUGAAUGAGCCGAUGUCGGAUUAGCUAGUUGGCGGGGUAAAGGCCCACCAAGGCGACGAUCCGUAGGUGGUCUGAGAGGAUGAUCAGCCACACUGGAACUGAAACACGGUCCAGACUCCUACGGGAGGCAGCAGUGGGGAAUAUUGGACAAUGGGAGCAAGCCUGAUCCAGCCAUACCGCGUGGGUGAAGAAGGCCUUCGGGUUGUAAAGCCCUUUUGUUGGGAAAGAAAAGCAGCAGGUUAAUCCCCCGCUGUUCUGACGGUACCCAAAGAAUAAGCACCGGCUAACUUCGUG